Molecule: transfer RNA, 63 nt
Filed under: Disteniidae sp. BMNH 899837
Lineage: Eukaryota; Metazoa; Arthropoda; Insecta; Coleoptera; Cerambycidae
Description: tRNA-Phe
Source: RNAcentral
AUUUAAAUAGCUUAUUUAGAGCAUAAUAUUGAAGAUAUUAAGGAGAUUUUAAAUCUUUAAAUA